UUCGAAAAAAGGUAUUUUAUACCUCAUAUUGUACCUAAAUUUCGGGACGGAUAUAUAGUGGAUUGCUCCUCCUCUCCGUGGAUGUAGGCCUUUUGUGCCGAACCACGUAAAUCUUGGUUCUUUGUCUUUGUUUAUUUAUGCCUGCAAUGUGUUUGGUGAAUUAUUUCAAAGAAAUUAGAUAUUAGAUCACAAGCCCAGAUCGAUCCAAUCCGGUGCGCGUUGCU
This 224-nucleotide long non-coding RNA is filed under the name Elaeis guineensis (African oil palm). Its description in RNAcentral is "long non-coding RNA (EGUI_LNC006873)". The record is from RNAcentral. Lineage: Eukaryota; Viridiplantae; Streptophyta; Magnoliopsida; Arecales; Arecaceae.